AACGAGCAGCAGAGCCGCCCAGCAGCAACCACAUUAGGAAGGAAUCGGAAACCAACGCUCCGCUGGCUGUCACCCCUUACCCACUUGCUGUCAGACCACAGCCUGAGGCAGCCAAACCCAUUUCCUUGGGGAUCCAGCGCAAACCAGAGAGUGUGGACAGGCCGAUGGAAGAAUGUUGGACCAGCUUUAAGAAUGGGCUGUUCUAAGUCAUGAAUAUUGUAGGAAGCAGCUCUAAGGACCACAGGGCUGGAGGGUGCACAGGAAGGGGCCAGUGCAUACAGGUGUCCAAACAGUGUCAUCCGGUGUCCUGACAUGCGGCCCCAAUGGACUGAUCCAGGGUGGAAAGGAAGAGUGAGAAGAAAUCAGACAGAAGAAUUCAGGAGAUGUGGCAACAGAGUGGAUGUAGCAGAAGGGACAUAGAGAGUGCCUAAAGAUGAGUCUUUGGUCAGCAUGUGAUGAAAAGAAUGAAGACACUGGGGAAGUGGGGAGCAGAAGCGGAUGUGGGCCCAGGAGGAAGAAGAUUCCAGAGAGCAGAGAUGGCAAAAAGAUGCAUGGAAGAGAGACACAGCAGGGUCGGGUUCUGGCCUCAGGAGCCAAGGGGGAAGUGCCUGAGGAGACCCCCAAAUGAGGCCUGUGUCAAUGAGGUCUUUAGGGGACUGGUUUCCAUGUAUGCCAGGCCAUACUCCCUGGAUUCCCAGCAUUGAGAAGACCAAACACUUCUACACAUUUAUUACUGAAGCCCCCUGCAAGCUGAAGGCGGAGGAAGUGGCCAAUCUCCUAAGCCGUGUGUGGCUGAGGCAGUUGUCAGAGCUGUGAUGAGGGAAAUGCUCAUUAUUCUUCUAUCCCUCACUUGGCCAAAUAAAGAACUUCUUAGAAUUCUUCCCCUGUGACAAAACGGGGCUGUGAUUUGGAAAGCCUCAGGCAAGUUUGCUAGGGCCGCGGUAACCAAGCACCACAGACUGGGUGGCUUCAAAACUGGACGGCUUCAACAGAAAGUUAUUGUUGCUCAGUUCUGGAAGCCAGAAGUCCAAAAUCAAGGUACUUGCAGGGUCAGUUCGAUCUGAGGGCUGCGAGGGAAGGAUCUGUUGUAGACCUCUCUCCUAGGUUUGCAGGCAUUGGUCCUGAUGUUCACAGGGCAUCCUUCCUGUGCCUUCACAUCAUCUUCUCUCUGAAUGUAUCUCUGGGUCCAAAUUUCCCUAUUUUAAAAUAAGGAAAUCAGUCCUAUUGGGUUAGCACCCCGCCCCUCACUUUAACUUGAUUACCUCUGUAAAGACCCUACCUCCAAAUAAGAUCACAUUCUGCGUACUGAGGGCUAGGACCUCAACAUCUGAAUUCAGGGUGGGUGGAUGCACAAUUCAUUCCAUAACAUUAAGAAGGAAGGGAUAAGUGCCCAAGGAAUCACAUGCUCGCUUGGGGAGAGUUCCAAGCGUGCAGAGCUGGUGGUCAUAGCCUAGCCUCAGGCCUUCGGAAAUCCCCUGAAUCUGGUUUUCCCAGUUCUCAUAAUCUCAUUUCACCAAAAUACGGCAUCUCAAUACAUUCCAUGCAUUUCUGGUGACAAGCUCAUUCUGGUGCACGCUAAGCAAUGUGCUAACUACGUCUUAACUAGGGUGGUUUAACUGGUUUGGUUAACAUAGAUCUCUGAGUCAUUUCACGCAUUCCUUAAGCCUAAACAAAUCUCAUCCAGGUGUUUAAGACAUUGCACAAUAUUAGACCAUCUGAAGCUCCAUCUCCUUGGGGCAAUGAUGAUGAUGGUGAUGAAAGUGGCUGGUGACUGUUCUCAGUCUCAUCGCCAUAAUGGAACCCUACGUUGUGUUCCUCCACACUGGUGUGAGGGACACUACUAAGUGCGGCAGAGUUUGCACUCAGGAUAGAGAAAUAUGGACUCACGCACAGAUUCCAGCUGAGUCCCUCCGAUGUGCUAGGUACUAUGUCCAGCCCCCCAGGAUUCACCUGUAAGCAGGACAGUCUUUUGGAUGACAGAGGGAAUUCUCAUAUAUCCACAGGCAGAUGGAAUUUACAAGUGGAAAGACCUAGAAGUUCAGAGACAGGGGGACUGAACUUUUUGCUUUCAGUCAGAAUCUUUGCUUACGGUUGUGCAAAUGCUUGCAUUGGUGGGUUUCCAUGCCAUAUAACGUGCUACAUAUUUUUACGUUACCCUUGCACAUAAGCAUACUGUUGGGAGGGAAAAUGAAGAGGGUGGAGGUGGUAACAAACUCAAGCUAAGGAAAUGGAAUUUGGAUGGGUACAAAGUCCAGAGAAUUAGCUUGAGGAAAAUGAACCAGGAUUCACACAGGAGUUUUCAAACAUCUCAAUAUCAGGACCCCUUUACCCUCUUAAAACUUACUUCGUGAGGACCUUAAAGAGCUUUUGUUUGUGUGACUUAUAUGUAUUAAUAUUUACUAUAUUAGAAAUUAAAAGUAAGGAAUGGUUGUAA
This 2434-nucleotide long non-coding RNA is filed under the name Homo sapiens (human). RNAcentral describes it as "STEAP1B antisense RNA 1 (STEAP1B-AS1)". The record is from RNAcentral. Lineage: Eukaryota; Metazoa; Chordata; Mammalia; Primates; Hominidae.